Molecule: long non-coding RNA, 230 nt
Filed under: Setaria italica (foxtail millet)
Lineage: Eukaryota; Viridiplantae; Streptophyta; Magnoliopsida; Poales; Poaceae
Description: long non-coding RNA (SITA_LNC002515)
Source: RNAcentral
GGGGCGCGGCGAUUGCAAGGGACACAAACCAAUCCAGAUACUCGAGGGUCGAGAAGGGGUGCCCCGAGGCUAGGAGGUGACACCAUGCCAAGGUUGUAGAUCAAGAACCACCGGCUGUGCUGCGAGGCACGGCUGAACAUGUCAUCUUCCAUCAGAGUCAAACCAUCUUCUGCAGGCGCGCUUAACUCCUCGUAUCUUGCUGUUCUCUGAUGCCUUGCGCACAAAAGCAC